GCAUUGGUAGUCCAGCGUCAGAACGCCGGUCUUGUAAGCCGGAUGUCGGAGGUUAAAAUCCUUCCCAAUGCU
This 72-nucleotide transfer RNA is filed under the name Plectropomus leopardus (leopard coralgrouper). RNAcentral describes it as "tRNA-Thr". It matches the Rfam family "tRNA". From Rfam's summary of the family: Transfer RNA (tRNA) molecules are approximately 80 nucleotides in length. Their secondary structure includes four short double-helical elements and three loops (D, anti-codon, and T loops). Further hydrogen bonds mediate the characteristic L-shaped molecular structure. tRNAs have two regions of fundamental functional importance: the anti-codon, which is responsible for specific mRNA codon recognition, and the 3' end, to which the tRNAs corresponding amino acid is attached (by aminoacyl-tRNA synthetases). tRNAs cope with the degeneracy of the genetic code in two manners: having more than one tRNA (with a specific anti-codon) for a particular amino acid; and 'wobble' base-pairing, i.e. permitting non-standard base-pairing at the 3rd anti-codon position. The record is from RNAcentral. RNAcentral also lists the same sequence under 2 other names. Lineage: Eukaryota; Metazoa; Chordata; Actinopteri; Perciformes; Serranidae.